CCUACGGGUGGCAGCAGUGAGGAAUAUUGGUCAAUGGGAGAGAUCCUGAACCAGCCAAGCCGCGUGAGGGAAGACGGCCCUAUGGGUUGUAAACCUCUUUUGUCGGAGAACAAAACCCGGGACGUGUCCCGGACUGCGUGUAUCCGAAGAAAAAGCAUCGGCUAACUCCGUGCCAGCAGCCGCGGUAAUACGGAGGAUGCGAGCGUUAUCCGGAUUUAUUGGGUGUAAAGGGCGUGUAGGCGGGAAAGCAAGUCAGAUGUGAAAACUCAGGGCUCAACCCUGAGCCUGCAUUUGAAACUGUUUUUCGUGAGUGCGGGAGAGGCAAUCGGAAUGCCGUGUGUAGCGGUGAAAUGCGUAGAUAUACGGAGGAACACCAGUGGCGAAGGCAGAUUGCUGGACAGUAACUGACGCUGAGGCGCGAAAGCGUGGGGAGCAAACAGGAUUAGAUACCCCAGUAGUC
RNAcentral lists this ribosomal RNA (460 nucleotides) under uncultured bacterium. RNAcentral's name for it is "partial 16S ribosomal RNA". It matches the Rfam family "Bacterial small subunit ribosomal RNA", at positions 338 to 795 of the family's 1533-position model. The record is from RNAcentral.